Molecule: long non-coding RNA, 399 nt
Filed under: Helianthus annuus (common sunflower)
Lineage: Eukaryota; Viridiplantae; Streptophyta; Magnoliopsida; Asterales; Asteraceae
Description: sRNA HanXRQr2_Chr17g0806031
Source: RNAcentral
GUUGGCCAGGAGCCAAGAAAGAAAAGGAAGAACCCUUAUCAUCAUACAAAAUUCAGCAAUUGAAGCUUUAAUCAUGGCUAAUACUCAUGCAUGUCUUUGAUUUCCUAAUCCUCCAAGCAUACUAAAGCACAAGGAAUUAAGAAAAAAGCUCAAGUCAUUCCGGAUCGCAAACGAAGAACGAUAAAGGCAUCUUGAUCCGCGGCGUUACGUUGGAACGAACACAUCACCUCACAAGCUUCCGCUACGAUACUUAACUAAACGGGUCAAAACUUUUGUUGGAAGGUUCUUCGUUAUGUUUAAUCUUUUGUAAAAACUUAACUUUGAAGGAUGUCGAAACUUUUAUUAUCUCCGUUAGUUUAUGUCGAAGUUUAUGGAAAAUUUUGUAAGUUUCUUGUUUGA